GAUGAACGCUGGCGGCGUGCCUAAUACAUGCCAGUCGAGCGAACAGAUGAGGAGCUUGCUCCUCUGACGUUAGCGGCGGACGGGUGAGUAACACGUGGAUAACCUACCUAUAAGACUGGGAUAACUUCGGGAAACCGGAGCUAAUACCGGAUAAUAUAUUGAACCGCAUGGUUCAAUAGUGAAAGACGGUUUUGCUGUCACUUAUAGAUGGAUCCGCGCCGCAUUAGCUAGUUGGUAAGGUAACGGCUUACCAAGGCAACGAUGCGUAGCCGACCUGAGAGGGUGAUCAGCCACACUGGAACUGAGACACGGUCCAGACUCCUACGGGAGGCAGCAGUAGGGAAUAUUCCGCAAUGGGCGAAAGCCUGACGGAGCAACGCCGCGUGAGUGAUGAAGGUCUUCGGAUCGUAAAACUCUGUUAUUAGGGAGGAACAAAAGUGUAAGUAACUAUGCACGUCUUGACGGUACCUAAUCAGAAAGCCACGGCUAACUACGUG
Molecule: ribosomal RNA, 497 nt
Filed under: uncultured bacterium
Lineage: Bacteria
Description: partial 16S ribosomal RNA
Rfam family: Bacterial small subunit ribosomal RNA
Source: RNAcentral